CAGCAGCCGCGGUAAAACGGAGGAUCCGAGCGUUAUCCGGAAUUAUUGGGUUUAAAGGGUGCGUAGGCGGAUAGAUAAGUCAGUGGUGAAAGACGGUGGCUCGACCAUCGCAGUGCCGUUGAUACUGUUUAUCUUGAAUAUGGAUGAGGUAGGCGGAAUGUGGCAAGUAGCGGUGAAAUGCAUAGAUAUGCCACAGAACACCGAUUGCGAAGGCAGCUUACCAAGGCAAAAUUGACGCUGAGGCACGAAAGCGUGGGGAUCGAACAGGAUUAGAUACCCCCGUAGUCCCUGUCUCUUAUAC
Molecule: ribosomal RNA, 301 nt
Filed under: uncultured bacterium
Lineage: Bacteria
Description: partial 16S ribosomal RNA
Rfam family: Bacterial small subunit ribosomal RNA
Source: RNAcentral